AAGUCGUAACAAGGUUUCCGUAGGUGAACCUGCGGAAGGAUCAUCAGUAUGAUUAAAUUCUACUAAUAACAAUAAUACUCGUUUAAAUGAAUGAGUAAUUUACCUAGUUUUACUAGGAUUCUUUUUUUUUUUUAAUUGGGACUUUUAGGAGUGUAUGAUCGUAAAAAGGAUAAAAAUCUAACCAGUUAGUAACGAUAAUUGGAGUUUGAGAGGUCGUUCCUCAUCAAACAAGAUUUUCCUUAAAAGAUUAUACUCUUGAUGGGAAUUUUCUCAUUAAGGAACCCAUUUAAAUGACAUUAAUUUUUAUCAACCGGGAAACUGACGAGGUAAAAGUCGUCAAAAUGAACAAAACUUUCGGCAAUGGAUCUCUCGGCUCUCC
RNAcentral lists this unclassified non-coding RNA (379 nucleotides) under fungal sp. Its description in RNAcentral is "partial internal transcribed spacer region". The stretch from base 1 to 46 matches the Rfam family "Eukaryotic small subunit ribosomal RNA", at positions 1786 to 1831 of the family's 1831-position model. Lineage: Eukaryota; Fungi. The record is from RNAcentral.